Molecule: ribosomal RNA, 790 nt
Filed under: uncultured archaeon
Lineage: Archaea
Description: bacterial SSU rRNA
Rfam family: Archaeal small subunit ribosomal RNA
Source: RNAcentral
ACGGCUCAGUAACACGUGGAUAACUUGCCCUCAGGUCUGGCAUAACCCCGGGAAACUGGGGAUAAUUCCGGAUAACGCAUAUGUGCUGGAAUGCUUUAUGCGUCAAAGGUCCUCCACCUGAGGAUGGGUCUGCGGCCUAUCAGGUAGUAGCGGGUGUAAUGUACCUGCUAGCCGACGACGGGUACGGGUUGUGAGAGCAAGAGCCCGGAGAUGGAUUCUGAGACAUGAAUCCAGGCCCUACGGGGCGCAGCAGGCGCGAAAACUUUACAAUGCGGGAAACCGUGAUAAGGGGACACCGAGUGCCAGCAACAUUUGCUGGCUGUCCACGUGUGUAAACUACACGUGUUAGCAAGGGCCGGGCAAGACCGGUGCCAGCCGCCGCGGUAACACCGGCGGCCCGAGUGGUGAUCGUUAUUAUUGGGUCUAAAGGGUCCGUAGCCGGUUUGGUCAGUCUUCCGGGAAAUCUGUCAGCUCAACUGAUAGGCUAUCGGGGGAUACUGCUAGACUUGGAACCGGGAGAGGUAAGAGGUACUACAGGGGUAGGAGUGAAAUCUUGUAAUCCCUGUGGGACCACCUGUGGCGAAGACGUCUUACCAGAACGGGUUCGACGGUGAGGGACGAAAGCUGGGGGCACGAACCGGAUUAGAUACCCGGGUAGUCCCAGCCGUAAACGAUGCUCGCUAGGUGUCAUGCAUGGUACGACCGUGUAUGGUGCCGUAGGGAAGCCGUGAAGCGAGCCACCUGGGAAGUACGGCCGCAAGGCUGAAACUUAAAGGAAUUGGCGGGGGAG